UGCCUGUAGGAGACAGAUCUAAGUGAGGUC
RNAcentral lists this non-coding RNA (30 nucleotides) under Rattus norvegicus (Norway rat). The record is from RNAcentral. Lineage: Eukaryota; Metazoa; Chordata; Mammalia; Rodentia; Muridae.